RNAcentral lists this ribosomal RNA (493 nucleotides) under uncultured bacterium. RNAcentral describes it as "partial 16S ribosomal RNA". It matches the Rfam family "Bacterial small subunit ribosomal RNA", at positions 28 to 507 of the family's 1533-position model. The record is from RNAcentral.
GACGAACGCUGGCGGCGUGCUUAACACAUGCAAGUCGAACGGUGAAGGGACCGGUUUUUGCUGGUUCUGGAUGAGUGGCGAACGGGUGAGUAACACGUGAGUAACCUGCCCCCUUCUUCUGGAUAACCGCAUGAAAGUGUGGCUAAUACGGGAUAUUCUGCGCCUGCUGCAUGGUGGGUGUGGGAAAGAUAUUGUUUCGGUGGGGGAUGGGCUCGCGGCCUAUCAGCUUGUUGGUGGGGUGAUGGCCUACCAAGGCGGUGACGGGUAGCCGGCCUGAGAGGGUGGACGGUCACACUGGGACUGAGACACGGCCCAGACUCCUACGGGAGGCAGCAGUGGGGAAUAUUGCACAGUGGGCGCAAGCCUGAUGCAGCGACGCCGCGGGAGGGAUGGAGGCCUUCGGGUUGUAAACCUCUUUCGCCAGUGAAGCAGGCCUGUCCCUUGUGUGGGUGGGUUGACGGUAGCUGGAUAAGAAGCGCCGGCUAACUACGUG